This 440-nucleotide ribosomal RNA is filed under the name uncultured bacterium. RNAcentral describes it as "partial 16S ribosomal RNA". It matches the Rfam family "Bacterial small subunit ribosomal RNA", at positions 338 to 795 of the family's 1533-position model. The record is from RNAcentral.
CCUACGGGAGGCAGCAGUGGGGAAUAUUGCGCAAUGGGGGAAACCCUGAUGCAGCGACGCCGCGUGGGUGAAGAAGUCUUUCGGUAUGUAAAGCUCUAUCAGCAGGGAAGAAAAUGACGGUUCCUCAUUAAAAAGCCCCGGCUAACUACGUGCCAGCAGCCGCGGUAAUACGUAGGGGGCAAGCGUUAUCCGGAUUUACUGGGUGUAAAGGGAGUGGAGACGGCAGCACAAGUCUGGAGUGAAAUGCAGGGGCUUAACCCCGGAACUGCUUUGGAAACUGUGUAUCUAGAGUGCAGGAGAGGUAAGUGGAAUUCCUAGUGUAGCGGUGAAAUGCGUAGAUAUUAGGAGGAACACCAGUGGCGAAGGCGGCGUACUGGACUGUAACUGACGUUGAGGCUCGAAAGCGUGGGGAGCAAACAGGAUUAGAUACCCGGGUAGUC